UUUUGGUGAGAAUUUUGGUAAUUUUGGAGCUUUGGAGCUUGUGGUGCUGAGGUUUUGUAGUCACUAGAGCACAAAAAUCGUGAAAAAAACUGAAAAAAAAUUUUUUUUUUUUUUUUUUUUUUUUUUAAUUUUUU
Molecule: long non-coding RNA, 134 nt
Organism: Caenorhabditis elegans
Lineage: Eukaryota; Metazoa; Nematoda; Chromadorea; Rhabditida; Rhabditidae
Gene: linc-168
Product: ncRNA
Source: Ensembl